RNAcentral lists this ribosomal RNA (279 nucleotides) under uncultured bacterium. RNAcentral describes it as "partial 16S ribosomal RNA". It matches the Rfam family "Bacterial small subunit ribosomal RNA", at positions 506 to 784 of the family's 1533-position model. The record is from RNAcentral.
UGCCAGCCGCCGCGGUAAUACGGAGGGGGUUAGCGUUGUUCGGAAUCACUGGGCGUAAAGCGCGUGUAGGCGGCUUGGCAAGUCGGAUGUGAAAUCCCGGGGCUCAACCCCGGAAGUGCAUUCGAAACUGCCUCGCUCGAGUUCUGGAGAGGAAGGCGGAAUGCUUGGUGUAGAGGUGAAAUUCGUAGAUAUCAAGCAGAACACCCGUGGCGAAGGCGGCCUUCUGGACAGUGACUGACGCUGAGACGCGAAAGCGUGGGGAGCAAACAGGAUUAGAUA